RNAcentral lists this unclassified non-coding RNA (336 nucleotides) under soil metagenome. RNAcentral describes it as "partial contains 5.8S ribosomal RNA, internal transcribed spacer 2, and large subunit ribosomal RNA". The stretch from base 1 to 120 matches the Rfam family "5.8S ribosomal RNA", at positions 35 to 154 of the family's 154-position model. The record is from RNAcentral.
GAUGAAGAACGCAGCGAAAUGCGAUACGUAGUGUGAAUUGCAGAAUUCAGUGAAUCAUCGAAUCUUUGAACGCACAUUGCACCUCUCGGUAUUCCGGGAGGUAUGCCUGUUCGAGCGUCAUUUGUACCCUCAAGCUCUGCUUGGUGUUGGGUGUUUGUUCCGCCUCUGUGUGUGAACUCGCCUCAAAACAAUUGGCAGCCGGCGUAUUGAUUUCGGAGCGCAGUACAUCUCGCGCUUUGCACUCAUAACGACAGCGUCCAAAAGUACAUUUUACACUCUUGACCUCGGAUCAGGUAGGGAUACCCGCUGAACUUAAGCAUAUCAAUAAGCGGAGGA